This 1474-nucleotide ribosomal RNA is filed under the name uncultured organism. Its description in RNAcentral is "SSU rRNA". It matches the Rfam family "Bacterial small subunit ribosomal RNA". The record is from RNAcentral.
UGACGAACGCUGGCGGCGUGCCUAAUACAUGCAAGUCGAGCGAGCGGAACUAACAGAUUUACUUCGGUAAUGACGUUAGGAAAGCGAGCGGCGGAUGGGUGAGUAACACGUGGGGAACCUGCCCCAUAGUCUGGGAUACCACUUGGAAACAGGUGCUAAUACCGGAUAAGAAAGCAGAUCGCAUGAUCAGCUUUUAAAAGGCGGCGUAAGCUGUCGCUAUGGGAUGGCCCCGCGGUGCAUUAGCUAGUUGGUAAGGUAAAGGCUUACCAAGGCGAUGAUGCAUAGCCGAGUUGAGAGACUGAUCGGCCACAUUGGGACUGAGACACGGCCCAAACUCCUACGGGAGGCAGCAGUAGGGAAUCUUCCACAAUGGACGCAAGUCUGAUGGAGCAACGCCGCGUGAGUGAAGAAGGUUUUCGGAUCGUAAAGCUCUGUUGUUGGUGAAGAAGGAUAGAGGUAGUAACUGGCCUUUAUUUGACGGUAAUCAACCAGAAAGUCACGGCUAACUACGUGCCAGCAGCCGCGGUAAUACGUAGGUGGCAAGCGUUGUCCGGAUUUAUUGGGCGUAAAGCGAGCGCAGGCGGAAGAAUAAGUCUGAUGUGAAAGCCCUCGGCUUAACCGAGGAACUGCAUCGGAAACUGUUUUUCUUGAGUGCAGAAGAGGAGAGUGGAACUCCAUGCGUAGCGGUGGAAUGCGUAGAUAUAUGGAAGAACACCAGUGGCGAAGGCGGCUCUCUGGUCUGCAACUGACGCUGAGGCUCGAAAGCAUGGGUAGCGAACAGGAUUAGAUACCCUGGUAGUCCAUGCCGUAAACGAUGAGUGCUAAGUGUUGGGAGGUUUCCGCCUCUCAGUGCUGCAGCUAACGCAUUAAGCACUCCGCCUGGGGAGUACGACCGCAAGGUUGAAACUCAAAGGAAUUGACGGGGGCCCGCACAAGCGGUGGAGCAUGUGGUUUAAUUCGAAGCAACGCGAAGAACCUUACCAGGUCUUGACAUCUAGUGUCAUUUGUAGAGAUACAAAGUUCCCUUCGGGGACGCUAAGACAGGUGGUGCAUGGCUGUCGUCAGCUCGUGUCGUGAGAUGUUGGGUUAAGUCCCGCAACGAGCGCAACCCUUGUUAUUAGUUGCCAGCAUUAAGUUGGGCACUCUAAUGAGACUGCCGGUGACAAACCGGAGGAAGGUGGGGAUGACGUCAAGUCAUCAUGCCCCUUAUGACCUGGGCUACACACGUGCUACAAUGGGCAGUACAACGAGAAGCGAGCCUGCGAAGGCAAGCGAAUCUCUGAAAGCUGUUCUCAGUUCGGACUGCAGUCUGCAACUCGACUGCACGAAGCUGGAAUCGCUAGUAAUCGCGGAUCAGCACGCCGCGGUGAAUACGUUCCCGGGCCUUGUACACACCGCCCGUCACACCAUGGGAGACUGCAAUGCCCAAAGCCGGUGGCCUAACCUUCGGGAAGGAGCCGUCUAAGGCAGGGCA